This 245-nucleotide unclassified non-coding RNA is filed under the name Pochonia chlamydosporia. Its description in RNAcentral is "partial internal transcribed spacer region". The stretch from base 1 to 46 matches the Rfam family "Eukaryotic small subunit ribosomal RNA", at positions 1786 to 1831 of the family's 1831-position model. Lineage: Eukaryota; Fungi; Ascomycota; Sordariomycetes; Hypocreales; Clavicipitaceae. The record is from RNAcentral.
AAGUCGUAACAAGGUCUCAGUUGGUGAACCAGCGGAGGGAUCAUUACCGAGUUUUCAACUCCCAAACCCCAUGUGAACUUAUACCAUUUACAACCGUUGCUUCGGCGGGUUCUCGCCCCGGGCUUUACACCCCGGAACCAGGCGGCCCGCCGGGGGACCCAAACUCUAGAUUUUUAUUUUAGCAUGUCUGAGUGGAAUCAUUACAAAAUGAAUCAAAACUUUCAACAACGGAUCUCUUGGUUCUG